This 688-nucleotide ribosomal RNA is filed under the name uncultured Arthrobacter sp. Its description in RNAcentral is "bacterial SSU rRNA". It matches the Rfam family "Bacterial small subunit ribosomal RNA", at positions 61 to 749 of the family's 1533-position model. Lineage: Bacteria; Bacillati; Actinomycetota; Actinomycetes; Micrococcales; Micrococcaceae. The record is from RNAcentral.
GUCGAACGAUGAACCUGUGCUUGCACGGGGGAUUAGUGGCGAACGGGUGAGUAACACGUGAGUAACCUGCCCUUGACUUCGGGAUAAGCCUGGGAAACUGGGUCUAAUACUGGAUACGACCUCUCAUCGCAUGGUGUGGGGGUGGAAAGUUUUUGCGGUUUUGGAUGGACUCGCGGCCUAUCAGCUUGUUGGUGAGGUAAUGGCUCACCAAGGCGACGACGGGUAGCCGGCCUGAGAGGGUGACCGGCCACACUGGGACUGAGACACGGCCCAGACUCCUACGGGAGGCAGCAGUGGGGAGUAUUGCACAAUGGGCGAAAGCCUGAUGCAGCGACGCCGCGUGAGGGACGACGGCCUUCGGGUUGUAAACCUCUUUCAGUAGGGAACAAGGCAUCAUUUUUGUGGUGUUGAGGGUACUUGCAGAAGAAGCACCGGCUAACUACGUGCCAGCAGCCGCGGUAAUACGUAGGGUGCAAGCGUUAUCCGGAAUUAUUGGGCGUAAAGAGCUCGUAGGCGGUUUGUCGCGUCUGUCGUGAAAGUCCGGGGCUCAACUCCGGAUCUGCGGUGGGUACGGGCAGACUAGAGUGAUGUAGGGGAGACUGGAAUUCCUGGUGUAGCGGUGGAAUGCGCAGAUAUCAGGAGGAACACCGAUGGCGAAGGCAGGUCUCUGGGCAUUAACUGACGCUGA